Long non-coding RNA from Zingiber officinale, 1529 nucleotides. RefSeq lists it as uncharacterized. The record is from RefSeq and is a predicted model, not a curated record. The transcript is spliced from 2 exons. NCBI's taxonomy places the organism in Eukaryota, Viridiplantae, Streptophyta, Magnoliopsida, Zingiberales, Zingiberaceae.
AAAAUUCUAUUUCAAAUUUUUUAAAUUUAAAAAAUUCAUUAAUACAGUUAUGAAGCAAUUCAAUCUAUCCACUCAGAUUCUGUCAUCCUGACCAUUCAUCUAGAUUUAGAGUGCUCGGAUCUCUUCAUCCAGAUGGAUCUUUAUGAUUCAAAUCCAAAUCCAAAUCAUCCAGAUGGAUCUUGCAAGAUGUCGGAUCGGCGGCCGGCGGCGGCGGUCAGCGGCGGUCAGCGGCCGGCGGCGGCGGUCGGCGGUGGGGGGCGGGGGCCGACGGUGGACUAAGGGCAGAUUACGCCCUACCAAACGUUAUCCCUUUCUUUUUCAUCCCGACAUUUCAUUCCCUACCUCCCGAUCGCACACCUCAAGCCCACACCCGAACCUCCCUUCUUCCUCCUCCAACCACAGUCCACCAAGGUCGGCGGCCGCUGCCCUCAUCACAGUCGGCCUUCACAACACCCCAUCUCACCUUACCCUCUCUCGAUCGGGAGAAGCUCCUACCGCCGACAGCCCUUCUUCAUCUCCUCUACCUCUCCCAAUUGAAAAAGGAGGAGUCAUCUCGUCCUCUCCAAUACUCAUCCCCGGCGCCACCACCACAUCCUUCCUCACCGGCGGCCACCAUUCUAUCUUCUUCCUCACCCAAUCGGGAGAGGAGGCACCGACCAUCUCCACCUUCUUCCUCUCCCGAUUGGGAGCGGAAGCGCCACCUUGGGAACUCUCGAAUCCGAGGCUCUUCCAUUCAUCCAUCCUCAUCCACAGCUCUCUAUUCAAUUGGGAGAGAUUUUGACAGCCCACCUUCAUCCACCUACAAGUUCACAUCAGUGAGCUUCAGGAUUCCAAGCUCUUCUGCACUAUACACCCUUCCGAAUCCGUAGGUGGUAGCAUGAUUCAUUUCCGCUGCUCAUCACACGCCAUCCAUUCCGCUCGAGGAUAUAAGUAGAGGGAAAGAUAUUGGUUUCAGCAAAGAAAGAUCAAGGGGGAGAGGAUACGGAGAUGAUACUCUCUUAUAAUACAAGAUAAGUAUAUAUAUUAAUGGUAUACAAAUUGAAGAAAUCAUUGAGUUACAUAAUAUUUACUUUGAUUAUGCAUGUAUGCAACAUGAUACAAUGCAUGAAUUUGACAACAUACCAAAUGAAAUACAAGUGUGUGAAUUUAUCUCAAUAUUGUAUUUAUUAAAUGACAUCCAUUAUAAUAAUGUAUUUAUUUGUUAUAGGAUGAGGAGGGGAAAUCAAUUUCAGAAAUUAUUUAAAGCUAAGAGAAAUGGAACUCAUCACAUAAAAUAGGCAAAAGGAAGAAAAGCUUAUCGAGGAAGGUAGAUAAAGAGAAGAAAAUCUAAAGAUGGUUCGUAAGAUAAUUCAAAAGGUGGGAUAUACAAAUCAUUUGUAUGAGGAUUGGUCCCGGGGGCUCGUGAUAGACGAAAUGAAGAUUAAAGUAUUUGUGAUAAAAUUUAAAAUUUUAUCAAUUACUUGCUAAAUUUAGUUGAAUGAUGUGAAUAUUCAUUUAUCUUUAAUUGUAUGAUACUUUUAGAUUAGAAA